GUGGGGAAUAUUGGACAAUGGGCGAAAGCCUGAUCCAGCCAUGCCGCGUGUGUGAAGAAGGUCUUCGGAUUGUAAAGCACUUUAAGUUGGGAGGAAGGGCAGUAAGUUAAUACCUUGCUGUUUUGACGUUACCGACAGAAUAAGCACCGGCUAACUUCGUGCCAGCAGCCGCGGUAAUACGAAGGGUGCAAGCGUUAAUCGGAAUUACUGGGCGUAAAGCGCGCGUAGGUGGUUUUGUAAGUUGGAGGUGAAAUCCCCGGGCUCAACCUGGGAACUGCCUCCAAAACUGCAUGACUAGAGUACGGUAGAGGGUAGUGGAAUUUCCUGUGUAGCGGUGAAAUGCGUAGAUAUAGGAAGGAACACCAGUGGCGAAGGCGACUACCUGGACUGAUACUGACACUGAGGUGCAAAAGCGUGGGGAGCAAACAGGAUUAGAUACCCUGGUAGUCC
This 450-nucleotide ribosomal RNA is filed under the name uncultured bacterium. Its description in RNAcentral is "partial 16S ribosomal RNA". It matches the Rfam family "Bacterial small subunit ribosomal RNA", at positions 354 to 796 of the family's 1533-position model. The record is from RNAcentral.